This 1344-nucleotide ribosomal RNA is filed under the name uncultured bacterium. Its description in RNAcentral is "bacterial SSU rRNA". It matches the Rfam family "Bacterial small subunit ribosomal RNA", at positions 28 to 1380 of the family's 1533-position model. The record is from RNAcentral.
GAUGAACGCUAGCGGGAGGCCUAACACAUGCAAGCCGAGCGGUAUUGUUUCUUCGGAAAUGAGAGAGCGGCGUACGGGUGCGGAACACGUGUGCAACCUGCCUUUAUCUGGGGGAUAGCCUUUCGAAAGGAAGAUUAAUACUCCAUAACAUAUUGAUUGGCAUCAAUUAAUAUUGAAAGCUCCGGCGGAUAGAGAUGGGCACGCGCAAGAUUAGCUAGUUGGUGAGGUAACGGCUCACCAAGGCGAUGAUCUUUAGGGGGCCUGAGAGGGUGAUCCCCCACACUGGUACUGAGACACGGACCAGACUCCUACGGGAGGCAGCAGUGAGGAAUAUUGGUCAAUGGGUGCAAGCCUGAACCAGCCAUCCCGCGUGAAGGACGACUGCCCUAUGGGUUGUAAACUUCUUUUGUAUAGGGAUAAACCUACCCUCGUGAGGGUAGCUGAAGGUACUAUACGAAUAAGCACCGGCUAACUCCGUGCCAGCAGCCGCGGUAAUACGGAGGGUGCAAGCGUUAUCCGGAUUUAUUGGGUUUAAAGGGUCCGUAGGCGGACUUAUAAGUCAGUGGUGAAAGCCUGUCGCUUAACGAUAGAACUGCCAUUGAUACUGUAAGUCUUGAGUAUAUUUGAGGUAGCUGGAAUAAGUAGUGUAGCGGUGAAAUGCAUAGAUAUUACUUAGAACACCAAUUGCGAAGGCAGGUUACCAAGAUAUAACUGACGCUGAGGGACGAAAGCGUGGGGAGCGAACAGGAUUAGAUACCCUGGUAGUCCACGCCGUAAACGAUGCUAACUCGUUUUUGGGCUUUAGGGUUCAGAGACCAAGCGAAAGUGAUAAGUUAGCCACCUGGGGAGUACGCUCGCAAGAGUGAAACUCAAAGGAAUUGGCGGGGGCCCGCACAAGCGGUGGAUUAUGUGGUUUAAUUCGAUGAUACGCGAGGAACCUUACCAAGACUUAAAUGGGAAUUGACAGCUUUAGAAAUAGAGCUUUCUUCGGACAAUUUUCAAGGUGCUGCAUGGUUGUCGUCAGCUCGUGCCGUGAGGUGUUAGGUUAAGUCCUGCAACGAGCGCAACCCCUGUCACUAGUUGCCAUCAUUCAGUUGGGGACUCUAGUGAGACUGCCUACGCAAGUAGAGAGGAAGGUGGGGAUGACGUCAAAUCAUCACGGCCCUUACGUCUUGGGCCACACACGUAAUACAAUGGCCGGUACAGAGGGCAGCUACACAGCGAUGUGAUGCAAAUCUCGAAAGCCGGUCUCAGUUCGGAUUGGAGUCUGCAACUCGACUCUAUGAAGCUGGAAUCGCUAGUAAUCGCGCAUCAGCCAUGGCGCGGUGAAUACGUUCCCGGGCC